Limulus polyphemus (Atlantic horseshoe crab) is the source of this 460-nucleotide long non-coding RNA. RefSeq lists it as uncharacterized. The record is from RefSeq and is a predicted model, not a curated record. The transcript is spliced from 4 exons. Lineage: Eukaryota; Metazoa; Arthropoda; Merostomata; Xiphosura; Limulidae.
UUCAUAGCCUUCUAUCUGACUCAGAUACGUUACCAGAUAUUUUGCUUCGGACAAGAACAUCAUUAUCAUGAACAAGUCAACGAUCUUUCUUCUAUGCCUGCUGCUACUGGGAGUUGUAAUUGAGACUGAAGCCCACUGCAGAUACCACUGUAUACAAAUUUAUUGUAGAUAUGGUAUAUGCAGAUACUUAUGUAAAUGGAGAUGUUAUGGUGUGGUUCCAUUCGACGCAAAAGAAAAACCUGAAGAUAAAGAAGUGGAGUUCAAAGAGGGAGAAAAACCAAAUGAAUUUGAUUUAGAUGAAUAGCCGACAUCUAUAUACAAUGGUUCUUCUCUUUAACCUGUGAUAGCUGGAACUAUCUGAUAUCUUUUGUUUAGUAUUAUAAUCAUACUAAAUACGUCUUCCAUGAUGUAAACUGGUUAUCUUUACUGAAAAAUUCAAUAAAAUCAUUUGAUAUUUUGA